CAGAGGGUGCGAGCGUUAAUCGGAAUUACUGGGCGUAAAGCGUGCGUAGACGGCUAUCUAAGUCGGGUGUGAAAGCCCCGGGCUCAACCUGGGAAUUGCAUUCGAGACUGAAUAGCUAGGGUGCGGUAGAGGGAAGCGGAAUUUCCGGUGUAGCGGUGAAAUGCGUAGAUAUCGGAAGGAACAUCAGUGGCGAAAGCGGCUUCCUGGACCAGCACCGACGUUCAGGCACGAAAGCGUGGGGAGCAAACAGGAUUAGAUACCCUGGUAGUCCACGCCAUAAACGAUGAGGACUAGACGUUGGAGGGUUAAGCCUUUCAGUGUCGUAGCUAACGCGCUAAGUCCUCCGCCUGGGGAGUACGGCCGCAAGGUUG
Molecule: ribosomal RNA, 371 nt
Filed under: uncultured organism
Description: bacterial SSU rRNA
Rfam family: Bacterial small subunit ribosomal RNA
Source: RNAcentral